RNAcentral lists this unclassified non-coding RNA (278 nucleotides) under Hevea brasiliensis (rubber tree). Lineage: Eukaryota; Viridiplantae; Streptophyta; Magnoliopsida; Malpighiales; Euphorbiaceae. The record is from RNAcentral.
AACAUAAAAUUUGCCCCAAAGCUUUCCAAUGGGUAACGGUAGGAGAGGAUAUAAAUUGACUUCCGAUACUAACUGAAUAUGCAAUAUCUGGACGAGUUAUUAUGAGAUAAUUAAGUUUGCCAACGAAUCUCCUAUACAUCUCAAGGUCCUCAAAUAGUUCACCAUCACCUGCUGUGUGUUGAAGAUUAGGAGUCAUUGGUGCACUGCAGAGUUUGGCAACUAAUUUCCUAUUUCUGCUAAUAAUCAAGGACAUACUUCUUCUGAGACGAGAAUAUGCA